GAUGAAGAACGCAUCGAAAUGCGAUAAGUAAUGUGAAUUGCAGAAUUCAGUGAAUCAUCGAAUCUUUGAACGCACAUUGCGCCCCUUGGUAUUCCGAGGGGCAUGCCUGUUCGAGCGUCAUUAUAACCCCUCAAGCUCAGCUUGGUAUUGGGGCCUGCCAUCCUGGCAGCCCUUAAAAUCAGUGGCGGUGCCAUCCGGCUCUAAGCGUAGUAACUCCUCUCGCUAUGGAGUCCUGGUGGAUGCUUGCCAUUAAUCUUUUAACUUCUAUGGUUGACCUCGGAUCAGGUAGGGAUACCCGCUGAACUUAAGCAUAUCAAUAAGCGGAGGA
Molecule: unclassified non-coding RNA, 328 nt
Filed under: soil metagenome
Description: partial contains 5.8S ribosomal RNA, internal transcribed spacer 2, and large subunit ribosomal RNA
Rfam family: 5.8S ribosomal RNA (bases 1-120)
Source: RNAcentral